UACGGAGGGGGCUAGCGUUGUUCGGAAUUACUGGGCGUAAAGCGCGCGUAGGCGGCUUUGUAAGUUAGAGGUGAAAGCCCGGAGCUCAACUCCGGAACUGCCUUUAAGACUGCAUCGCUAGAGUUGUGGAGAGGUGAGUGGAAUUCCGAGUGUAGAGGUGAAAUUCGUAGAUAUUCGGAAGAACACCAGUGGCGAAGGCGACUCACUGGACACAUAUUGACGCUGAGGUGCGAAAGCGUGGGGAGCAAACAGG
Molecule: ribosomal RNA, 253 nt
Filed under: uncultured bacterium
Lineage: Bacteria
Description: partial 16S ribosomal RNA
Rfam family: Bacterial small subunit ribosomal RNA
Source: RNAcentral